UAUCAUUUUCAUUUAGGUGUUAUGAUCUGAAUUCAGUUAUAAGAAUAUGUGUUAUUUGUAAGAAAUGUAACUCUACCAAAAAUAUGUGUUACACUAAAAUUUAACCAUGUGAAUGUAAUUUCAGGGUCAUCAAGACUAGAGUUUCUCAUUGAAUGCAUCCUAUCUUGAUCAAUAUUUACAUAAUAUAUAUAUACACAUAAUCAAUGAUUUGGCGUAUUUGUUGUAUACACAAACUUAUUA
Molecule: long non-coding RNA, 240 nt
Filed under: Brassica napus (rape)
Lineage: Eukaryota; Viridiplantae; Streptophyta; Magnoliopsida; Brassicales; Brassicaceae
Description: long non-coding RNA (BNAP_LNC022290)
Source: RNAcentral